AUGCAACAAAAACAACAAAAUAAACUAGGGAAAUCAUCAUGGCUCAGACAUCCAAGGAAGGAAUUAGCAGCAUUAGCUCUCAAGCCUGGCAGGGCGAAAGCUCUUAGGCGGCAUCUGCGAAUGUUUAGAGAAACAAGCCUUAGUUCUAUCAUCAUCGCCAUUGAUUUCCCAGUAAAACUACACAAAAUAUUACAGGGAGGCAAUAGGUGUAAUCACAAAAAACGGCUCUGUGUACCGACUGAAUCACAGCCACAGGUUCCUAUCAAAUGUGAAAAUCUUUGUUGGCACAAUGUAGCAUCUCCGGUCAAGGCUUGUGGCUACCUGAGACGUGGCAUCGGGCCCAAGAAAACAGGAAAAAAGAAAGGUUGCAAGAGAACAGGCAUCAUUGCUUAG
Molecule: ribosomal RNA, 393 nt
Filed under: Triticum aestivum (bread wheat)
Lineage: Eukaryota; Viridiplantae; Streptophyta; Magnoliopsida; Poales; Poaceae
Description: partial small subunit ribosomal RNA
Source: RNAcentral